RNAcentral lists this long non-coding RNA (402 nucleotides) under Mytilus galloprovincialis (Mediterranean mussel). Lineage: Eukaryota; Metazoa; Mollusca; Bivalvia; Mytilida; Mytilidae. The record is from RNAcentral.
GGUUGUUUGUUUAAGUGUUACAUAUUUCUUUUUCGUUCAUUGUUUUACAUAAAUAAGGCCGUUAGUUUUCUCGUUUGAAUUGUUUUACAUUGUCUUAUCGGGGCCCUUUAUAUCUGACUAUGCGGUAUGGGCUUUGCUCAUUGUCGAAGGCCGUACGGUGACCUAAAAUUGUUAAUGUCUGUGUCAUUUUGGUCUUUUGUGGAUAGUUGUCUCAUUGGCAAUCAUACCACAUCUACUUUUUUAUAUUAACAUAUUAUUUGAUUCUUAUACAAAGGUUUUACAUCUGGCUGCUCAGAAUGGACACCUACAGGUCACAAGAUAUCUCUCAGAACAAGGAGGUGUCAGUCCCUUGGUUAAAACACAUAAGAAUGAAAGAGAGUUCUCUGAAGAAGCAAUGAAUUU